Molecule: long non-coding RNA, 2070 nt
Organism: Oncorhynchus tshawytscha (Chinook salmon)
Lineage: Eukaryota; Metazoa; Chordata; Actinopteri; Salmoniformes; Salmonidae
Source: Ensembl
CGCAUAAAUUGUUGAGACACACCUCUAAACAAAAGAACGGAAAGUUUUCAGCUCUUCACGGUUGAAGACGGGAAGUUUUAGCAGAAGUAUUCUAGGUAAAAUUAGGCUUUUUUGUGGACGAUGGUUAGUCCUUUUUUAAUCGAUUGUGCGUGGUGUAGAAGGCAUCACAAUCCACAGCGAAUUUUGCUGCUAAGCAAAUCACGUCUCGUUUUAUAGCUUGGUUUGACCGUUAUUAGUUGGCUUUGAAGUUUGUAGGUAUUGCGAAGUUAACCUCCAGGCGACUAUCCUUCUAGCUAACCGUAUAUUCUUAAUAACAGAAAGUGCUGCUUCAAUUUAUCUCAGGUUUUCGUCUACCACGCGGCAGAGGCAACUUCUUUACCAUCAAGAUCAAACAUUUUCUCCCAACCGGUCAUUUACAGCUUCCGUUGUGUUGUGUUACAGAUUCACACGAUAGAGAACACAGCAAUUUUGACGGACUGGGUCGAGGAAACGAAACGCAAACCAAGCAAGAUAAAUGUUGCCUUAUCGGCUCGCUUGUCAGGACUGUGGUGUGAAGUUUGACACCAUCCGCCGCUUCAAGCAGCAUGUCCGCAGGAAGCAACAUCAACAGGGCUGGAACAAUAGCCAGUAGCUCUGCAGGAAGACUGUUUGCUGCCCCUGCCAUAGGAACACUGCCUGUACAAACCACAGCAGGAAAUCAAGCAAGUGGCAGAGCUCUUCCAGACAGAUGAGUACCACGGUCAAGUCUACUUUGCCCCUUUCUUGGUUCUGGAGCAUCUGGCCAGGAAACCCACAAACACCCCAUAUCCCAUCAUCGGUCUGUGCCUGGUGACAUUGUGUGUGAGUCCAGAGGGGAGGGAUACUUUCUACCUUUGUCACAGUUGUGAGGAGAAGUGUGGCCCAGGACAGAUCAUAGACCACCUCCUCUCUGCUGACCACCUCUCCAACUACUAUAGCUACACAGACCCUGAUGUGUUGAGUUUCUCCUGGAUGCCUAACAUGGAUAUGUUGAACCUCCUACGGCCGCUAGCUGUCAAAGAGAUGGACAAGGAUGGACCUGGAGUGCUACGGGUGCUGGACAUGCCUAAGAGUGUGUCUGUGAAAUUGAAGACAAGUGGCUACUCUAAAGUCAUGCAGGCCCUGACUCAGACUGACAGGCUGGCUGAGUGUAUCAGAGCUGACAGACCAGAAAGGAUGACUAUACAAGAGUACCACAGAGACCCCAACAGGAAACACCCUCUGCUGGGUCUACAGCACCUGGUGGAGUACUGCUGUGAAGGGCAUGGCCAAAGGAGAUCCUACCUCUGUCAGCUCUGCCGCCUCCCUGUCCCCUCACGGAGGGUCAUCCAACACACACUCGGCUUCGACCACCUCUACUGGUACUUCAAGGUGUUUCACCCCUCCACCCUCCUGAUGAAGGACUGUUAUAAAGAGUACAGCUGCAGGUUCAUCGCCAUGAUCCUGGACCUGGCCAAUCAGGUGCAAGACAUCAGUCAGUCAGCCAAUAUGGAGAUACAGCAAGUUGUGUUGGAACCAGCAGUGUUCUCCUCAGUUGAGUUUUCUGUCUACACAGAGGCUCUGAGGAAGUUGCAGACCAUUAGGAGAGCUCGUAAGGAGGGCAGCCUUAAGACCAGCAUUAUACCUGGAGACAAACUGGUUCCUUCCUCAGAAGGGUCAAAGAUUACCAAAGAUGUUACCAUGACUAAUGUUGCUGAGGCUGUUCCUAUGGAGACCAAGUCAAGCCCAGUGAAGACCUAUGUCACACCUACAGCUGUUGAGACUGUAGCUACAGCAAGUACUGCUCCAGUUGUUACCAAAGCUACUAGCCAGAGGGGGACCUGUCGACUGCACUGUCAGGACUGCAACGUGGUAUGUGAGUCUGUGUCGCAGUACAAGUUACAUGUGCGUCACUGGAAACACAAGGAGAUGCUAGGAGUUAUCUUUGAACCAGGUACUAGUGAUGUUGACCACCAACCAUAAAAAAUCAACUUCUGCAUCGUUUCCCCAUCAUGCUGUACAUCUUUUGAGAGUUACAUUGUUUAUGAACUAACUAUUUUUUUUCUUUCUCAG